RNAcentral lists this long non-coding RNA (234 nucleotides) under Mytilus galloprovincialis (Mediterranean mussel). The record is from RNAcentral. Lineage: Eukaryota; Metazoa; Mollusca; Bivalvia; Mytilida; Mytilidae.
UAAUAAACUAACAACAUUAAAUUAAAGAUGUAUUGACCACUCAUCGAAGUCCACUUGCAAACAUCUUAUUCAUAUUUCGGACAAUGGUAGUACUACAUACAAACAUAAAAAUGAAAUGACAAUUGUACCAAAAAAACAUACUCAGCCGUAGCGUUACGUACUAGAACUCUGCAUACUAGCGCGAACUCAUAACUUUAGGGUUGACAGGCUAGGUAUACGGUAGAUGCACUACUU